This 521-nucleotide ribosomal RNA is filed under the name uncultured Actinomycetes bacterium. RNAcentral describes it as "bacterial SSU rRNA". It matches the Rfam family "Bacterial small subunit ribosomal RNA", at positions 940 to 1463 of the family's 1533-position model. Lineage: Bacteria; Bacillati; Actinomycetota; Actinomycetes. The record is from RNAcentral.
UGCGGAUUAAUUCGAUGCAACGCGAAGACCUUACCAAGGCUUGACAUGUAGAGGAAAAGUGCAGAGAUGCACUCCCCGCAAGGUCUCUACACAGUUGGUGCAUGGUUGUCGUCAGCUCGUGUCGUGAGAUGUUGGGUUAAGUCCCGCAACGAGCGCAACCCUCGUCCUAUGUUGCCAGCACGUUAUGGUGGGAACUCAUGGGAUACUGCCGGGGUCAACUCGGAGGAAGGUGGGGAUGACGUCAAAUCAUCAUGCCCCUUAUGUCUUGGGCUUCACGCAUGCUACAAUGGCCAGUACAGAGGGCUGCAAUACCGUAAGGUGGAGCGAAUCCCAAAAAGCUGGUCUCAGUUCGGAUUGAGGUCUGCAACUCGACCUCAUGAAGUCGGAGUCGCUAGUAAUCGUAGAUCAGCAACGCUACGGUGAAUACGUUCCCGGGCCUUGUACACACCGCCCGUCAAGUCACGAAAGUCGGUAACACCCGAAGCCGGUGGCCUAACCGCAAGGAGGGAGCCGUCGAAGGU